RNAcentral lists this non-coding RNA (227 nucleotides) under Listeria fleischmannii. RNAcentral describes it as "T-box sequence". It matches the Rfam family "T-box leader". From Rfam's summary of the family: Uncharged tRNA acts as the effector for transcription antitermination of genes in the T-box leader family. T-boxes are found upstream of many aminoacyl-tRNA synthetase genes and some amino acid biosynthetic genes usually in Gram-positive bacteria. Lineage: Bacteria; Bacillati; Bacillota; Bacilli; Caryophanales; Listeriaceae. The record is from RNAcentral.
UCACAAGUAAUGAUAAGGACAACCACUUAAUGGCAUGUUUUAGAGAAGGAGGGGUAGCUGAGAACCUCCUAACAGUAAAUUAAGUUUGGACCACCUUUGAACUUCUAUCUGGAACGCCUAGCUAGUAAAGAUAGACGAUUCGCUCUCGUUAACGGCGACAAGAGGAAGUAAGUUUUAUCUUAUUUCAAAUCUUGGGUGGAACCACGAGUAUACAACUCGUCCCUUGU